Molecule: unclassified non-coding RNA, 2560 nt
Filed under: Amphibalanus amphitrite
Lineage: Eukaryota; Metazoa; Arthropoda; Thecostraca; Balanomorpha; Balanidae
Description: palmitoyltransferase ZDHHC18-B-like, transcript variant X1
Source: RNAcentral
GAGCUGUGAACUCUACUACGUGAAACAAAUGUGGCGCAUCCGUUUAGUGGCGCAGUCAUGCAAUAAUUUAUUUGUUUUAAUUGAUAAUUUGAUAAUAUCUCUCGAGUGUCAAGUGUGCAAAAGCGUGUGAUUGUGGACUAUUUCAUUCAUAUCGAGGACAAGCUAAGCGUUUAGUUCUGGAUAUCAUUUUCAGCCGCAUAAUCAGGGGUGAGGUCGGAGCCGGCAGUCCGCCCGGCGGCUAUGUGGCGGUGACCGGGACGGCUGGGACCCGAGUGCGGCUGCGCCAUGCCGCCGCCGCCGCCGCCGCCGCCGCCGGUCCGCCGGUGGCAGCAGUUUCCCGGACGGAACCGGUUCUUUUGCGACGGACGCAUCAUGAUGGCACGCAAGAUGGGCAUCUUCUAUUUCACCGUCACAUUGAUUGUCGGCACCACGACACUCUUCUUUGUGUUCGACUGUCAGUUCCUGGCGGAGCGGAUCACGCCCGUGAUCCCGGUGGUGGGCGGUGUGCUGUUCGUCUUCGUCAUGUCGGCACUGCUGCGGACCAGCUUCAGCGAUCCGGGCGUCAUCCCGCGCGCCACCGCCGACGAGGCGGCCGACAUCGAGCGGCAAAUCGUGCCGAGUAACGCGAGCAACUCGCCGACGUACCGGCCGCCGCCGCGCACCAAGGAGGUCGUGGUGCGUGGCCAGCCGGUCAAGCUCAAGUACUGUUUCACGUGUAAAAUAUUCCGGCCGCCGCGCGCGUCGCACUGUAGUAUCUGUGACAACUGCGUCGAUCGGUUCGACCACCAUUGCCCGUGGGUGGGCAACUGUGUCGGGAAGAGGAACUACCGAUACUUUUACAUGUUCAUCGUCUCGCUAGCUUUUCUCUGCGUAUUCAUACUUGCUUGUGUGGUGACUCAUCUUAUCCUGUUGACCAAAGACGAUCGCCAAUUCCUGGAUGCUGUGAAAGAGUCACCGGCGAGUGUGAUCGAGGCCGUGAUAUGUUUCUUCUCGAUCUGGUCGAUUCUGGGCCUGUCUGGCUUUCACACGUACCUGGUCUCCUCGAACCAGACAACCAACGAAGACAUCAAAGGGUCAUUCACGGGGAAGCGAAGUGAAGAGGCCUUCAAUCCGUACGGACAGGGCAAUGUUAUCUCAAACUGCCUUGAUGUCCUUUGCGGACCAACUUACCCUAGUUUAAUAGACCGGCGCGGUCUGGUGCCGGUGGCCACUCCGGAGGCGGACCCGGCCCCGGAGCAGCGCAGGCCCGGUGCGGCGGCGGCGGCGGCCGACCCCCGCUCGGGCCGUUCCUAUGGCGCCGUGCACAGCGCCCAGACCAAACCGACCGUGCCGACCAGCCAGAGGUCAUCCUCUUCCAGUCCUACGGGGUCACGGCGUGUCAAGUGCACCCCUCCGUCCACGGCCACCUUCUCACGGCCCAAAUACCAUCCUCUCAAGUAGCUGCUACCUUCUCCCGGCCCAAAUACCACCCUCUCAAGUAGCUCCUACGUUCUCACGGCCCAAAUACCAUCCCCUGAAGUAGCUGCUACCUUAUCCGGGCCCAAAUACCAUCCCCUGAAGAAGCUGCUACCUUCUCCUGGCCGUAAUAUCAGCCUCUGAAGAAGCUAUUUCCUUCUGACUUGCCCAAGUACGACUACCGCCGCCUCUUUUUGUUCGAAAUAUAAUCAUCUGAAGAAGCAGUCCCGUUUUUCUCGGUCUACAGUGCGUCAACCCAUGAACAAACCACAGCCGUUUUCAGACCUGAUAAUACUCCCACAGUACCCGUUCCCUUUUCCUUCCGAGCUACCGCGACCGACUGAGCUGUCAGUCUCCAAUCCCAAAUACGACAUAUCCAGUUACAAACACCUCUGUAAAGUGUACCUUUCUCACAGUUUCCUGAACGGAUGUUGAUGAGUGCACAGCUGGUAUUCUCCCAAAUCUGGUGUUGGGCCCGUCACUAGUAGUUAGUAGUAAGCGUCCACCCCUUGCCGUGUGUGUGGCGCCGUCGAGCCGAGCCGAGCCGGGCUGACGAGCGCGCGCUGGUCAGGUGGUGCCUCUUCCCGCCAUACCGAGCGUGCCCGCGCCCAGCGGUGACUUCUAGCGACGGGCGCCGGCGGCCGGCGCGUCUCAGAACGGGCACGCGUCAGUCAGCGGCCGGUCGGCGGCCGCCUCGGGUCAGCCGGGCCACCGUCGAGCCGCCGCCGCUGCCGUCGCCAUCGAGCGGCCACAACGCGGCGGCGGCGGCGGCGCGGCGAUGGACACGGCCGACCUGGACCUGGACAGUCUGGACGGCUCAGAAACACUGAGCCACGAGAGCCGUGGCCAGACCACGGACAGUGAGGCGCGCUCCAACGUGGCGCUUAUCCGACUGGCCCACAGCGCCGUCUGACCGACCGACCGGCGCCCGGCGGUGGACGGACGGACGGUUUUCUAAUGUGUUGUGAUGUGAUGUGACGAAAGAGACGGGCCGGUGAAUCGUCCCGUAACCAAUCGACGUGCUGAUAUUGCUGAACGACGCCGGCGAUACAUAUACUAUUUUAUAAUCGACAAUUAAUACAUGGUAAUGUGCCGCAGUGUGAAA